AUUGAACGCUGGCGGAAUGCUUUACACAUGCAAGUCGGGCGGCAGCAUGGACUUCGGUCUGAUGGCGAGCGGCGAACGGGUGAGUAAUGCAUCGGAACGUACCUAGUUGUGGGGGAUAGCUCGGCGAAAGCCGGAUUAAUACCGCAUACGUCCUACGGGAGAAAGCAGGGGAUCGCAAGACCUUGCGCAAUUAGAGCGGCCGAUGUCUGAUUAGCUAGUUGGUGGGGUAAAGGCUCACCAAGGCAUCGAUCAGUAGCGGGUCUGAGAGGAUGAUCCGCCACACUGGGACUGAGACCACGGCCAGACUCCGUACGGGAGGCUCG
RNAcentral lists this ribosomal RNA (323 nucleotides) under uncultured Pseudomonadota bacterium. Its description in RNAcentral is "bacterial SSU rRNA". It matches the Rfam family "Bacterial small subunit ribosomal RNA", at positions 30 to 351 of the family's 1533-position model. Lineage: Bacteria; Pseudomonadati; Pseudomonadota. The record is from RNAcentral.